Molecule: ribosomal RNA, 414 nt
Filed under: uncultured Candidatus Saccharibacteria bacterium
Lineage: Bacteria; Candidatus Saccharimonadota
Description: bacterial SSU rRNA
Rfam family: Bacterial small subunit ribosomal RNA
Source: RNAcentral
AACGCGAAGAACCUUACCAAGGCUUGACAUCCCAGGAAUCCGCUAGAAACAGUGGAGUGCCUUCGGGAACCUGGUGACAGGUGCUGCAUGGCCGUCGUCAGCUCGUGUCGUGAGAUGUUGGGUUAAGUCCCGCAACGAGCGCAACCCUUGUCGUAUGUUGUAUUUCUCAUACGAGACUGCCCGGGCCAACCGGGAGGAAGGUGAGGAUGACGUCAGGUCAGCAUGGCCCUUACGCCUUGGGCUACACACGUCAUACAAUGGCCGGUACAACGCGUUGCCAACCCGCGAGGGGGAGCUAAUCGCACCAAAACCGGUCCCAGUUCGGAUUGGAGGCUGCAACUCGCCUCCAUGAAGUCGGAAUCGCUAGUAACCGUGGGUCAGCAUACCGCGGUGAAUACGUUCCCGGGCCUUGUA